RNAcentral lists this unclassified non-coding RNA (315 nucleotides) under plant metagenome. RNAcentral's name for it is "partial contains 5.8S ribosomal RNA, internal transcribed spacer 2, and large subunit ribosomal RNA". The stretch from base 1 to 105 matches the Rfam family "5.8S ribosomal RNA", at positions 50 to 154 of the family's 154-position model. The record is from RNAcentral.
GAACUGCGAUAAGUAAUGUGAAUUGCAGAAUUCAGUGAAUCAUCGAGUCUUUGAACGCACAUUGCGCCCCCUGGCAUUCCGGGGGGCAUGCCUGUCCGAGCGUCAUUGCUGCCCUUCAAGCCCGGCUUGUGUGUUGGGUCGUCGUCCCCUCCGGGGGACGGGCCCGAAAGGCAGCGGCGGCACCGCGUCCGGUCCUCGAGCGUAUUGGGCUUUGUCACCCGCUCGAUAAGGACCGGCCGGGCGCCAGCCGGCGUCUCCAACCUUUUUUUCUCAGGUUGACCUCGGAUCAGGUAGGGAUACCCGCUGAACUUAAGC